UGGGAGACUAAAAUGGACGUGUCUUUUGUGAAUUCGGUCAGGUCUGAAAAGAAGCAGCCGCAGCAUUAUGUACAUGGGUUAUUUUGGUCUCCUUUCU
This 97-nucleotide signal recognition particle RNA is filed under the name Candidatus Pelagibacterales bacterium. RNAcentral describes it as "signal recognition particle sRNA small type". It matches the Rfam family "Bacterial small signal recognition particle RNA". Rfam says of the family: The signal recognition particle (SRP) is a universally conserved ribonucleoprotein involved in the co-translational targeting of proteins to membranes. Archaeal SRP consists of a 7S RNA and homologues of the eukaryotic SRP19 and SRP54 proteins. The record is from RNAcentral. Lineage: Bacteria; Pseudomonadati; Pseudomonadota; Alphaproteobacteria; Candidatus Pelagibacterales.